GAUGAACGCUGGCGGCGUGCCUAAUACAUGCAAGUCGAGCGAACGGACGAGAAGCUUGCUUCUCUGAUGUUAGCGGCGGACGGGUGAGUAACACGUGGAUAACCUACCUAUAAGACUGGGAUAACUUCGGGAAACCGGAGCUAAUACCGGAUGAUAUUUUGAACCGCAUGGUUCAAAAGUGAAAGACGGUCUUGCUGUCACUUAUAGAUGGAUCCGCGCUGCAUUAGCUAGUUGGUAAGGUAACGGCUUACCAAGGCAACGAUGCAUAGCCGACCUGAGAGGGUGAUCGGCCACCCUGGAACUGAGACGCGGUCCAGGCUCCUACGAGAGGCAGCAGUAGGGAAUCUUCGGCAGUGGUCGAAAGCCUGACGGAGCAACGCCGCGUGAGUGAUGAAGGUCUUCGGAUCGUAAAACUCUGUUAUUGGGGAAGAACAUAUGUGUAAGUAACUGUGCACAUCUUGACGGUACCUAAUCAGAAAGCCACGGCUAACUACGUG
Molecule: ribosomal RNA, 497 nt
Filed under: uncultured bacterium
Lineage: Bacteria
Description: partial 16S ribosomal RNA
Rfam family: Bacterial small subunit ribosomal RNA
Source: RNAcentral